AUUGAACGCUGGCGGCAGGCCUAACACAUGCAAGUCGAGCGGCAGCAGGGUGCUUGCUCCUGGUUUCAGGUGCGGACGGGUGGGUGAUUCCUAGGUAUCUGCCUGGCUGCUUUGGCGUGCGUCCGAACGCAGGCACUCUUACCGCAUUAGUGCAGACGGCGUACGUGUGGAAUCAUCGGAUCUCACGACCUCACGUGAUCCUAGGUGCCUAUGUCGGAUUAGCUAGUUGGCGGGGUAAAGGCCCACCAAGGCGACGAUCCGUAGCUGGUCUGAGAGGAUGAUCAGCCACACUGGAACUGAGACACGGUCCAGACUCCUACGGGAGGCAGCAGUGGGGAAUAUUGGACAAUGGGCGAAAGCCUGAUCCAGCCAUGCCGCGUGGGUGAAGAAGGCCUUCGGGUUGUAAAGCCCUUUUAUUGGGGAAGAAGGGCAGUAGGUUAAUACCCCGCUGUUUUGACGGUACCAACAGAAUAAGCACCGGCUAACUUCGUG
RNAcentral lists this ribosomal RNA (492 nucleotides) under uncultured bacterium. RNAcentral's name for it is "partial 16S ribosomal RNA". It matches the Rfam family "Bacterial small subunit ribosomal RNA", at positions 30 to 507 of the family's 1533-position model. The record is from RNAcentral.